RNAcentral lists this ribosomal RNA (500 nucleotides) under uncultured bacterium. Its description in RNAcentral is "partial 16S ribosomal RNA". It matches the Rfam family "Bacterial small subunit ribosomal RNA", at positions 28 to 507 of the family's 1533-position model. The record is from RNAcentral.
GACGAACGCUGGCGGCGUGCUUAACACAUGCAAGUCGAACGGGUCUGCCCUGUUUUUUGCGGGGUGGGUCAGUGGCGAACGGGUGAGUAACACGUGAGUAACCUGCCCCUCACUUCUGGAUAACCGCUUGAAAGGGUGGCUAAUACGGGGUGUUCUGGCUGUGCCGCAUGGUGUGGCUGGGAAAGAUUCACUUUUGUGGUGUUUUGGUGGGGGAUGGGCUCGCGGCCUAUCAGCUUGUUGGUGGGGUGAUGGCCUGCCAAGGCUUUGACGGGUAGCCGGCCUGAGAGGGUGGGCGGUCAGACUGGGACUGAGAUACGGCCCAGACUCCUGCGGGAGGCAGCAGUGGGGGGUAUUGCACAAUGGGCGGAAGCCUGAUGCAGCGACGUCGCGUGAGGGAUGGAGGCCUUCGGGUUGUGAACCUUUUUCGCCGGUGAAGAAGGUCCUGCUCUUUGUGGUGGGGUUGACGGUAGCCGGGUUAUGAAGCGCCGGCUAACUACGUG